GACGAACGCUGGCGGCGUGCUUAACACAUGCCAGUCGAACGGAAAGGCCCUGCUUUUGUGGGGUGCUCGAGUGGCGAACGGGUGAGUAACACGUGAGUAACCUGCCCUUGACUUUGGGAUAACUUCAGGAAACUGGGGCUAAUACCGGAUAGGAGCUCCUGCUGCAUGGUGGGGGUUGGAAAGUUUCGGCGGUUGGGGAUGGACUCGCGGCUUAUCAGCUUGUUGGUGGGGUAGUGGCUUACCAAGGCUUUGACGGGUAGCCGGCCUGAGAGGGUGACCGGCGACAUUGGGACUGAGGUACGGCCCAGACUCCAACGGGAGGCAGCAGUGGGGAAUAUUGCACAGUGGGCGGAAGCCUGAUGCAGAAACGCCGCGUGCGGGAUGACGGCCUUCGGGUUGUGAACCGCUUUCGCCUGUGACGAAGCGUGAGUGACGGUAAUGGGUAAAGAAGCACCGGCUAACUACGUG
RNAcentral lists this ribosomal RNA (468 nucleotides) under uncultured bacterium. RNAcentral's name for it is "partial 16S ribosomal RNA". It matches the Rfam family "Bacterial small subunit ribosomal RNA", at positions 28 to 507 of the family's 1533-position model. The record is from RNAcentral.